Molecule: ribosomal RNA, 483 nt
Filed under: uncultured bacterium
Lineage: Bacteria
Description: bacterial SSU rRNA
Rfam family: Bacterial small subunit ribosomal RNA
Source: RNAcentral
UAGUCCACGCCGUAAACGAUGUGUGCUAGAUGUCGGGUCCAUAGGAUUCGGUGUCGCAGCUAACGCACUAAGCACACCGCCUGGGGAGUACGGUCGCAAGAUUAAAACUCAAAGGAAUUGACGGGGACCCGCACAAGCGGUGGAGCAUGUUCUUUAAUUCGAAGCAACGCGAAGAACCUUACCUACACUUGACAUACUCGUCGGGAAUUUCAGAGAUGAUUUUCUUCGGUUCGGCCGGACGAGAUACAGGUGCUGCACGGCUGUCGUCAGCUCGUGUCGUGAGAUGUUUGGUUAAGUCCAGCAACGAGCGCAACCCCUAUCGUAUGUUGCCAGCAUUCAGUUGGGCACUCAUGCGAGACUGCCGGUGAUAAGCCGGAGGAAGGUGGGGAUGACGUCAAGUCCUCAUGGCCCAUACAAGCUGGGCUACACACGUGCUACAAUGGCGAUGACAGUGAGCAGCUAACCGCGAGGCAGCUAAUCUAA